This 1557-nucleotide long non-coding RNA is filed under the name Limulus polyphemus (Atlantic horseshoe crab). RNAcentral's name for it is "uncharacterized LOC111085216". The record is from RNAcentral. Lineage: Eukaryota; Metazoa; Arthropoda; Merostomata; Xiphosura; Limulidae.
UUUUGGAACCGUAAGAUGUUAGAACUAGUAACUUAGAAGUGAGACUAUUUUACUAAACUUAGGAAGUUUGAUCUUUUUCGCUGUCAGGCGUCACUCAUAUUCAUAGUGAAGGUUUAGGUGUUGUGUAAAACGUUGUCAUUUUAUAGGAUAAAAUAAGGUAAAUUGUGUAAGAAAUUCAGAACGUUAGGCCUUUAUAUGUGAUACAUAUAUUCUGAAUAGUCACAGUAAGAGUUGUGAAUAUCCAGAAUGAGCCCACCAGCCACGUCCAUACUUUGUUUACUUUCGAUAAAGUUUUUGGCUUUAGAUAUUCGAUCACAUGUGUCACCAUCACUUUGUUUAUUUACUAAAUUAGUUUGAGAAAUCUAUCCUAAGGCUUCAAUUUAAAAUACUGAAUGGCGAUGGAACCCGUGGCACACAGCAGGUGAUUGACUAAUGGAUUGAAUUGACACCAGCUAUAGUGGGGGCUAGCACUUAACAGGAGUUGAAGAAGAGGCUCGGUGAUUUCCUGAAAGAAAAGAGAAGAUGCAGUAUUUUCUAAAACAGUUUUAGCAUCAUAAGUACAUCACUCCAACAAUUCUUAAGACAGGUCGUUGCUGACCAGGAAGAGAAGGAAAUUAAAACACAUGUUCCAAAAGAUCAGCAUUGACUUUGCAUAUCACUAAAGUUUUCAGCCAAAGAAACGUAAAUGUUAUUGGAUGCUGUCACCGUCCAAUGGAUAACUUGGAAUUUUUGACCGGAUGUUGGAAGCUUUCUCUCAGGUUUAAGGAGUUAAUCUUUCCCAGCAGAAAUGGAUUGGUAAACUUGUGCUAGAAGCUGUAAAGAUGGAUAAGCAUAUAAGUAGAGGGAGAAAAACAAUACUGAAGGUUAUUGAAAAAUACUGUCUCUGAAGCAACAAUAAUCUUAGGAGAUGUAUAACAAUGUAUGCCUGACAAGUUCUUAACUCAGUAGAAUGAUCCUGAGCCUAGAUGAGAGUGUCUGAAAACAUAGAAUACUUGAUUGGUUGCUUCCCUGACAGUGUAUGUAUGAAACCAUGGUGGAGUUAUCUAAAUGGACAAGAAUAGCACAGUCCAGAACAAAAGAAUGAAGAUAUUAGCAAGCCCAAGAAUAGCACAGUCCAGAACAAAAGAAUGAAGAUAUUAGCAAGCCCAAGAUACUACAAAGUGCUUCAACAACUUACUAGGAAACUCACAAUAGAUGGCAUCUUUAAUUGCCUGAAUUGGUGGAUGAUGCAUCUGUGAAGAAACUCUGAGCAUCAUGUUAGGAUGAUUGAGCCAUCAUAUCUUUCAUGAGGGACUAGAAGAGUCUCUAACUCAAAAAGUAACAAAGUUUGUAAGCCAGCCAUAUUACAAAAUAAAAACAUAUUUCCACAAAAUGAACCCACAUGACAGAAGCACAAAGAACUGCGGUAAAUACAUAAGUAAUGUGAACCCAACUAGUGUAAUCACUUCAUUGCAUUGGAAAUAUUGUAAACCCAUAUAAUGUAUUCAGAUUCCUAGCACUGAAAACAUUGUAAGCCCAUUUAAUGUAUUCAAUCCCUAGCAUUAAAAGCAUUGUAAA